GCUAAGGCUCAGAGAGUGUCAGGGGUUUGUCCUCAGUCUAGGCAGAGAGGUACCUGGGUUUUCCAUCCCUGACAUAGCUCUGGUCUCCUCUUGGCUGGGAUUCCUGGCUUGCCUGCUGUGCUCAUCCUGAGGCGGGGGACUGUCACCUCUGCAGGGAAGACUUCCCGAGUUUGCUGAGCUCUGUCCUGAUUGCUUCAGCAUCAUCUCUCCAAAGACAGCUUCUCUCUCAGGUUCUUUACAUGAGAAGCGGCCCCGCCAUUGCUGUUCUGGAUUUGGUGCCCUCUCUUGGGGUUUACAGGUCCGAUGGGAUUUUGCUUUCUGAGAAAACAGAAGUAGGAGAACCUGACAGCUAAACCUUCCAAAUUUCUGGGUGCCAAGAUUUAGCGUAUAAGGCAGUAAGGACUAAGGACUGGGAUAUGAGGAGUGGAGUCUGCUGGUCCUUCCACCGAGAAAAACUUGUCAAUAGGAAGGGUGGUUUCUACCGUUUCCUCGAAUCCCCUGCCCAGGUCCCUCCUUUCCCUCCCUUCUUCCACUGGGGUUUGUACUACCUCUGGGAGAAACUGGGGCCUGGGAAUCCAACCCUCUGUCCACUGAAGCGUGCCCAGGUCACCCUCGAUUUCGCGUACAACAGCCUCAUACUCAUCUCGCAGUCUCUGGAUGUGGCGUCGGACCAAGAAGCCCCGGACGCAGGCCUGGUGUGAAGAAUAAGGGGGAAAGAAAACGCUUAUCACUGCAAAAGUGGGGGGGGUUCCUGGAGGAUUCUCCUGGAGAGCUCAUCCCAGUGACUCUAAGAGGGGACCUGGCCGCGGGAAAAGGAUAGGUGACGCUGUCAGAACAGUCUCCGGGGGUUCAAGGGAGGAUGCUGGACUGGAUCCCCCUCUUCGAUUUGAGGCCCUUCCCGCCACUUCCUGGAUCCCGCAGGAACGUGUGGUGGGAGUGGAAGGCCGGUGGGGGCCCGUGGGUCCCAGCAUUCGUCAGGGCGGUGGGGGUGGGUCGGUAACUCCGGAGGCGGGCACGAGGGUAGGUGGCCGAACGUGGUAGCUUCAUCUCGUUCGAAGACCCCAGUCCGAGACCCCGUGGUGGGAAUCAUGCACUCCCAGCCCGCUCCGCACCUGCAGCACCGACACCCCGCGAAGCAACCGCUCCCGCUCCAUCCGGGCGCCAACGGACCGGCCGCCUGCCGCGCGCCUGCGCCGUGCGUCACUAGUCCGCGCCGCGCACAGGCCCCGCCCCCGCCGUCUCCACGGCAACCUUGCUCCUCCCGCGGUGGCCGCCAGCUCCUGG
This 1284-nucleotide long non-coding RNA is filed under the name Lynx pardinus (Iberian lynx). The record is from RNAcentral. Lineage: Eukaryota; Metazoa; Chordata; Mammalia; Carnivora; Felidae.